CGGGGUGUGGCGCAGCCUGGCAGCGCGCUUGUUUUGGGUACAAGAGGUCCCGGGUUCGAAUCCCGGCACCCCGA
Molecule: transfer RNA, 74 nt
Filed under: Anaerolineae bacterium
Lineage: Bacteria; Bacillati; Chloroflexota; Anaerolineae
Description: tRNA-Pro
Rfam family: tRNA
About the family: Transfer RNA (tRNA) molecules are approximately 80 nucleotides in length. Their secondary structure includes four short double-helical elements and three loops (D, anti-codon, and T loops). Further hydrogen bonds mediate the characteristic L-shaped molecular structure. tRNAs have two regions of fundamental functional importance: the anti-codon, which is responsible for specific mRNA codon recognition, and the 3' end, to which the tRNAs corresponding amino acid is attached (by aminoacyl-tRNA synthetases). tRNAs cope with the degeneracy of the genetic code in two manners: having more than one tRNA (with a specific anti-codon) for a particular amino acid; and 'wobble' base-pairing, i.e. permitting non-standard base-pairing at the 3rd anti-codon position.
Source: RNAcentral